CCUACGGGAGGCAGCAGUGAGGAAUAUUGGUCAAUGGCCGUAAGGCUGAACCAGCCAAGUCGCGUGAAGGAAGAAGGAUCUCUGGUUUGUAAACUUCUUUUAUAGGGGAAUAAAGGUAUCCACGUGUGGAUAUUUGCAUGUACCCUAUGAAUAAGCAUCGGCUAACUCCGUGCCAGCAGCCGCGGUAAUACGGAGGAUGCGAGCGUUAUCCGGAUUUAUUGGGUUUAAAGGGUGCGUAGGUUGUUUUUUAAGUCAGCGGUGAAAGUUCGUGGCUCAACCAUAAAAUUGCCGUUGAAACUGGAAGACGUGAGUGUGUUUGAGGUAGGCGGAAUGCGGGGUGUAGCGGUGAAAUGCAUAGAUAUCACGCAGAACUCCGAUUGCGAAGGCAGCUUACUAAGCCAUAACUGACACUGAAGCACGAAAGCGUGGGGAUCAAACAGGAUUAGAUACCCCAGUAGUC
Molecule: ribosomal RNA, 460 nt
Filed under: uncultured bacterium
Lineage: Bacteria
Description: partial 16S ribosomal RNA
Rfam family: Bacterial small subunit ribosomal RNA
Source: RNAcentral